Molecule: long non-coding RNA, 432 nt
Organism: Bombina bombina (fire-bellied toad)
Lineage: Eukaryota; Metazoa; Chordata; Amphibia; Anura; Bombinatoridae
Exons: 3
Source: RefSeq, a predicted model, not a curated record
GGGAAAAAGACGCAGCUGGUGUGUUUCCCACUGAACAACUCAGUGGUGAUUUUGCAGGUUUUCAAGUUUCCGUGCAUGAUACAGGACCCAUAGAGCCUGAUGGUCUGUACAUAACCCCAACUCAGGUACACCGACACAUCCUUUCAAGCCUGGAGACAAGGUCCUGGUAAAGCGACUGCACAAGAAUAAAAGUCUGGAUCCUCCUUUUGGACCACCCACAGAGGUCAUUGCAGUAACACGCACCGCAGUUCUCACAGACGAGAGCCCAACAUGGAUCCAUGCCAGCAGGAUCAAGAUAUUCCCACAGAAUUGGAAAACAGACGCUGGAUCUACAGUGCCCGCUUCCCAACCCAACAAGCUAUCAUCUAUGUGUUAUUCAUAACAGUCAUUGCUGGUGCUGCCAUUGGCCUAAUGGCUACUGUAGCCAUUGGA